RNAcentral lists this ribosomal RNA (848 nucleotides) under Marinococcus halophilus. RNAcentral's name for it is "bacterial SSU rRNA". It matches the Rfam family "Bacterial small subunit ribosomal RNA", at positions 41 to 850 of the family's 1533-position model. The record is from RNAcentral. Lineage: Bacteria; Bacillati; Bacillota; Bacilli; Caryophanales; Bacillaceae.
GGCGUGCCUAAUACAUGCAAGUCGAGCGCGGGAAGCCGGCGGACUCCUUCGGGAGGAAACCGGUGGAACGAGCGGCGGACGGGUGAGUAACACGUGGGCAACCUGCCGGAGUGAUGGGAAUAACCCCGGGAAACCGGGGCUAAUGCCCAAUACGCCCUGACCUCGCCUGAGGUCAGCGGUAAAGCAGGGAUCUUCGGAUCCUUGCACAGUCCGAUGGGCCCGCGGCGCAUUAGCUAGUUGGAGAGGUAAGGGCUCCCCAAGGCGACGAUGCGUAGCCGACCUGAGAGGGUGAUCGGCCACACUGGGACUGAGACACGGCCCAGACUCCUACGGGAGGCAGCAGUAGGGAAUCAUCCGCAGUGGGCGAAAGCCUGACGGUGCAACGCCGCGUGAGUGAUGAAGGUUUUCGGAUCGUAAAGCUCUGUUGACAGGGAAGAACCCACGUCAGUCGAACAGGCUGGCGUGCUGACGGUACCUGUCCAGAAAGCCCCGGCUAACUACGUGCCAGCAGCCGCGGUAAUACGUAGGGGGCAAGCGUUGUCCGGAAUUAUUGGGCGUAAAGGGCACGCAGGCGGUUUCGUCAGUCCGAUGUGACAGGCCACGGCUCAACCGUGGAAGGCCAUUGGAAACUGCGAAACUUGAGGACAGAAGAGGAGAGUGGAAUUCCACGUGUAGCGGUGAAAUGCGUAGAUAUGUGGAGGAACACCAGUGGCGAAGGCGACUCUCUGGUCUGUACCUGACGCUGAGGUGCGAAAGCAUGGGGAGCAAACAGGAUUAGAUACCCUGGUAGUCCAUGCCGUAAACGCUGAGUGCUAGGUGUUAGGGGUUUCGAUACCCGUAGUGCCGAA